This 254-nucleotide unclassified non-coding RNA is filed under the name uncultured fungus. RNAcentral describes it as "sequence contains ITS1, 5.8S rRNA gene". The stretch from base 206 to 254 matches the Rfam family "5.8S ribosomal RNA", at positions 1 to 49 of the family's 154-position model. The record is from RNAcentral. Lineage: Eukaryota; Fungi.
UCUUCGUAGGUGAACCUGCGGAGGGAUCAUUGAUGAAUUACCUCUUGGCAACAAGAGUGUUCAUUUCCAUACACCCAUGUGAACCUUUUUUUUUCUCGGUCUUAGGAAAGUAGCUUUAUGCUGCCGGUACUUUGGCUGGAAAACUCUUGUGAAUGUAAAAAGUCCAGGAUGUUAAACCUAUUCCUUGAAUGGAAAAAGUCUUAACAACUAUUAACGGUGGAUCUCUUGGCUCUCGCAUCGAUGAAGAACGCAGC